This 253-nucleotide unclassified non-coding RNA is filed under the name uncultured Bacillota bacterium. RNAcentral's name for it is "uncultured Firmicutes bacterium contains 16S-23S intergenic spacer region". It matches the Rfam family "Bacterial small subunit ribosomal RNA", at positions 524 to 776 of the family's 1533-position model. The record is from RNAcentral. Lineage: Bacteria; Bacillati; Bacillota.
UACGUAGGUGGCGAGCGUUGUCCGGAAUUACUGGGCGUAAAGCGCGCGUAGACGGCUUAAUAAGUCAGAUGUGAAAGACCCGGGCUCAACCUGGGGGCGGCAUCUGAGACUGUUGAGCUUGAGUGCAGGAGAGGCAAGUGGAAUUCCCAGUGUAGCAGUGAAAUGCGUAGAGAUUGGGAGGAACACCAGUGGCGAAGGCGACUUGCUGGACUGUAACUGACGUUGAGGUGCGAAAGCUAGGGGAGCAAACGGG